UGGGGAAUAUUGGACAAUGGGGGCAACCCUGAUCCAGCUAUGCCGCGUGAGUGAUGAAGGCCUUCGGGUUGUAAAGCUCUUUUAUAUACGAGAAUGAUGAUGGUAGUAUAAGAAUAAGCACCGGCUAACUUCGUGCCAGCAGCCGCGGUAAUACGAAGGGUGCAAGCGUUGUUCGGAUUUACUGGGCGUAAAGGGCGCGUAGGCGGUCUAAUAUGUCAGUGGUGAAAACCCUGGGCUCAACCUAGGAAUUGCCAUUGAAACUGUUGGACUAGUGGUGACGAGAGGAUGGCGGAAUAUCCAGUGUAGAGGUGAAAUUCGUAGAUAUUGGGUAGAACACCGGUUGCGAAAGCGGCUAUCUGGAGUCAUACAGACGCUGAGGCGCGAAAGCGUGGGGAUCAAACA
RNAcentral lists this ribosomal RNA (402 nucleotides) under uncultured Rhodospirillaceae bacterium. RNAcentral's name for it is "partial 16S ribosomal RNA". It matches the Rfam family "Bacterial small subunit ribosomal RNA", at positions 355 to 774 of the family's 1533-position model. The record is from RNAcentral. Lineage: Bacteria; Pseudomonadati; Pseudomonadota; Alphaproteobacteria; Rhodospirillales; Rhodospirillaceae.